CACGCCGUAAACGAUGUCAACUAACUGUUGGGUUCUUAAAGAACUUAGUAGUGGAGCUAACGUAUUAAGUUGACCGCCUGGGGAGUACGGCCGCAAGGCUAAAACUCAAAUGAAUUGACGGGGGCCCGCACAAGCGGUGGAGCAUGUGGUUUAAUUCGAUGCAACGCGAAGAACCUUACCUACCCUUGACAUCCAGAGAAUCUGUUAGAGAUAGCGGAGUGCCUUCGGGAACUCUGAGACAGGUGC
RNAcentral lists this ribosomal RNA (246 nucleotides) under uncultured bacterium. RNAcentral's name for it is "partial 16S ribosomal RNA". It matches the Rfam family "Bacterial small subunit ribosomal RNA", at positions 796 to 1041 of the family's 1533-position model. The record is from RNAcentral.